Molecule: ribosomal RNA, 449 nt
Filed under: uncultured bacterium
Lineage: Bacteria
Description: bacterial SSU rRNA
Rfam family: Bacterial small subunit ribosomal RNA
Source: RNAcentral
GUCGAGGAUUUUUCUCAAUGGGGGAAACCCUGAAGGAGCGACGCCGCGUGGGGGAUGAAGGUCUUCGGAUUGUAAACCCCUGUCAUGCGGGAUCAAAGCUUACGACCUAACACGUCGUGAGUUGAUAGUACUGCAAGAGGAAGACGUGGCUAACUCUGUGCCAGCAGCCGCGGUAAUACAGAGACGUCAAGCGUUGUUCGGAUUCAUUGGGCGUAAAGGGUCCGCAGGCGGUCGGAUAAGUCGGAUGUGAAAUCUCGAGGCUUAACCUCGAUGGGUCAUUCGAAACUGUUCGGCUAGAGGAGUGGAGAGGAGACUGGAAUGGCUGGUGUAGCGGUGAAAUGCGUAGAGAUCAGCCAGAACACCCGUGGCGAAGGCGGGUCUCUGGACACUUCCUGACGCUCAGGGACGAAAGCCAGGGGAGCAAACGGGAUUAGAUACCCUGGUAGUCC